UAUUCAGUGUGGUUUGUCAUCACUUGUUGUGUAUAUAAAAAUAUUGUAAAACAUGAUGAUUGGUUUCACUGAGUGUGUGAUUAAAUUCCACGUUUGUCAAAAAAUUGCAACUUUUUGUGUAAUUAAUAUCUGAU
This is a small nucleolar RNA of 134 nucleotides. Its record names the gene U8. It matches the Rfam family "U8 small nucleolar RNA". Rfam says of the family: U8 is a member of the C/D class of snoRNA which contain the C (UGAUGA) and D (CUGA) box motifs. The record is from Ensembl.